AGUGAACGCUGGCGGUAGGCCUAACACAUGCAAGUCGAACGGCAGCACAGGAGAGCUUGCUCUCUGGGUGGCGAGUGGCGGACGGGUGAGGAAUACAUCGGAAUCUACUCUGGCGUGGGGGAUAACGUAGGGAAACUUACGCUAAUACCGCAUACGACCUACGGGUGAAAGCAGGGGAUCUUCGGACCUUGCGCGAUUGAAUGAGCCGAUGUCGGAUUAGCUAGUUGGCGGGGUAAAGGCCCACCAAGGCGACGAUCCGUAGCUGGUCUGAGAGGAUGAUCAGCCACACUGGAACUGAGACACGGUCCAGACUCCUACAGGAGGCAGCAGUGGGGAAUAUUGGUCAAUGGGCGCAAGCCUGAUCCAGCCAUACCGCGUGGGUGAAGAAGGCCUUCGGGUUGUAAAGCCCUUUUGUUGGGAAAGAAAUCCAGCUGGCUAAUACCCGGUUGGGAUGACGGUACCCAAAGAAUAAGCACCGGCUAACUUCGUGCCAGCAGCCGCCGUAA
Molecule: ribosomal RNA, 506 nt
Filed under: uncultured bacterium
Lineage: Bacteria
Description: partial 16S ribosomal RNA
Rfam family: Bacterial small subunit ribosomal RNA
Source: RNAcentral